This 567-nucleotide ribosomal RNA is filed under the name uncultured archaeon. RNAcentral's name for it is "bacterial SSU rRNA". It matches the Rfam family "Archaeal small subunit ribosomal RNA", at positions 317 to 889 of the family's 1478-position model. The record is from RNAcentral.
GUGAUUCGGGGUGCAGCAGGCGCGAAAACUUUACAAUGCCGGCAACGGCGAUAAGGGAACCUCGAGUGCCAGGUUACAAAUCUGGCUGUCGUGAUGCCUAAAAAGCAUUGCAUAGCAAGGGCCGGGCAAGACCGGUGCCAGCCGCCGCGGUAACACCGGCGGCUCGAGUGGUAACCGUUAUUAUUGGGUCUAAAGGGUCUGUAGCCGGCCGGGUAAGUCUCUUGGGAAAUCUGGCAGCUUAACUGCCAGGCUUUCAGGAGAUACUGCCUGGCUCGAGGCCGGGAGAGGUGAGAGGUACUUCAGGGGUAGGGGUGAAAUCUUGUAAUCCUUGAAGGACCACCAGUGGCGAAGGCGUCUCACCAGAACGGACCUGACGGCAAGGGACGAAAGCUAGGGGCACGAACCGGAUUAGAUACCCGGGUAGUCCUAGCCGUAAACGAUACUCGCUAGGUGUCGGCCACGGUGCGACCGUGGUCGGUGCCGUAGGGAAGCCGUGAAGCGAGCCACCUGGGAAGUACGGCCGCAAGGCUGAAACUUAAAGGAAUUGGCGGGGGAGCACAAUCGAAU